This 434-nucleotide ribosomal RNA is filed under the name uncultured bacterium. RNAcentral describes it as "bacterial SSU rRNA". It matches the Rfam family "Bacterial small subunit ribosomal RNA", at positions 351 to 782 of the family's 1533-position model. The record is from RNAcentral.
GCAGUGAGGAAUAUUGGUCAAUGGGCGCAAGCCUGAACCAGCCAUGCCGCGUGCAGGAUGAAGCAUCUAUGGUGUGUAAACUGCUUUUGUACGGGAAGAAACACCUCUUCGUGAAGAGGCUUGACGGUACCGUAAGAAUAAGGAUCGGCUAACUCCGUGCCAGCAGCCGCGGUAAUACGGAGGAUCCAAGCGUUAUCCGGAAUCAUUGGGUUUAAAGGGUCCGUAGGCGGUUUUAUAAGUCAGUGGUGAAAUCCGGCAGCUCAACUGUCGAACUGCCAUUGAUACUGUAGGACUUGAAUUAUUGUGAAGUAACUAGAAUAUGUAGUGUAGCGGUGAAAUGCUUAGAUAUUACAUGGAAUACCCAUUGCGAAGGCAGGUUACUAACAAUGGAUUGACGCUGAUGGACGAAAGCGUGGGGAGCGAACAGGAUUAGA